UAAUAUCUCAUUUGAUGAAAACAAUAUUUCGUCGUUAAACAUUUAUUAUAUUGUUUAGAUAUUUGCAGACUUCAAAUCUCAGAUGUGUCUCAGUCAAAGCAGUUAUAUGUGUAGAAAUGGUAAAACGGAUAAAGUAAAUUAGAAGCUCUUCAUUCGAUAGUAAAACAUUAGUCCGUGUGAAGAUAAAAAAGCAAGGUACCGACAAACGGAAAUUUUCGGUGAUCUAACAUGUUGGGACAGAACUACACAAGUCAACAUGUAAGGAGAUGAAUGAUUGGGAAAAAAAUUCAAGUACUCCUAGACGGUAGACCGACGUUCAUGACUUCAUCUAAUGAACAACAAGAAUUAAUGCUGAUUGAUGGGAGGCGAUGAUUUUGCGAAUGUACUUCUGAAAAAACCGAUUAUUUUGCACAUUUCCUUUGUAUAUGAAAGUCCGACUGAGAAUAAUGAAUUUUCCACUGUUAUAGUUCGAGGUUGGAAUGUACAUAAGCGUAUCAUGUGUCAAGGGUUUCCAGAACCGCUAAUUGACGGAAAAAUUUAGAAGAAUGCAGUCUUUGACAUUAACCAUUUGUACGUCUUGUAAACAACACUAAUUUGAAUCUUCAUUAUAUUAUUGACAAUAAUGCAUGUCAUAAUAACAGAAAAUAUUCAGUGAAUUAUGCAACGUACCGCUACUGUUUACGUCCUGAAGAUUGUGUCAUUGAGAGCAGAUCAUUUUGGAGAGCUAGUUGACUAUUUCUUAGGCGCCGUAAAUGGGAAUCACGAACUUCAAACUGGAAUGUUAUGGCAUAUGCUCCAUCACUAACUGAGAUUUCACUUACCCUUGAAUGGACUUUUCUCAUUCGCUUACAACUUUAUGAUUGUGGAAAUGAUAGUAGUUUUAUUUUUAUCUGCGUGUUUGUGAAGAAGGCCGCUGUCAAUAUAUCCAGUAAAAAUAUAUAGUUGGAGAUACAUGAAAAUGAAAUGUCAUAACAAUCAAUGAUGGAAAUGUCUAUGACGUUAUAUUAAUAAUUUCUUAUUCUUAAGCAGAUAUACACAGAAAGGACUAAAAUUUGUAUUAAUACUAAACAAUCAUUAUCUAUCGAUAAAAGUGUAAAACUUGGAGAUUAGGUUAAGAACUUCGAGGAAAUUCCUUCAUAAUAUUUCAAUAACUAUAAGAUGUUAUAUACUAAAUACGAUUAAAAAUAUUUUUAAUGAAACGAUGACAAAAUUAGACACCAAAAUGUACUAUUUUUAAUAUAUGUUCGAGCUUUCGAAUACUUUUGUAUUCAUCUUUAAGAACUGAAAUUAUGGUCAGGGUACAAUUAAAGUGUAAUAAUAAUGAAAAUUACUGACAAAAAUUAGUUUAAAAGGCGGUGUUUUCUUCUAAAAAUCAUUAUUAAUACACGAAUUCCAAAAUCAAUAUACAAAUUGACGCUUUAUACAAAUAUUGAGCUAAUCGACUCUGGUUGCUAUAGAAAUUGUCAACAUCAUUCAUAACGACCUAACCUAAUCUAACCUAUAAAAAUUUUAUGUCAUUCAUAAUCUAACCAAUUAAAAUUAAAAACGAUUUCUAUAAAAACCAGAAUCAAUACGCUUAAUAUAUCUAUCAAGCGUGAAUUUGAAAUUUGAUGUUUGAAUUCUAUAAAUGUAAUGAUUCUUAAAAGAAAGUACAAAAUAUAUAUUAUUGUUAAACUUCUAUACAUAUUUUUAAAUUUUACUUUGACAAUAAUUUCUGUACCUGACAGAAAAUGCAUUAUUGUCAAAAAAGUGUUCACAAUUUGUAGGCAAGAACUUGUAAAUAACCAAAAGACUCACACAAAUAACUAAAAAGAACACAAAUAGAAUAAAAUCGAAAUAUACAGUAUGCGCACGAAAACAACAAUAAAUAAAGAUAUUUCUUUUUAAAAUGUACAUGUGAAAAUUUUUUAUAUGUCGUUAAUGGUUGUGUUAUUUAGUACAAAAGUACAUAUUUUUAUAAGAUAAAACUUUAGUUUUAUAAAAGUUGAGACAGAAAAGAUUAGAAUCGCACUCAAGAGAAACUAGUAUCGUCCGUAAAAAGAUAUAUUUACUGCUGAUGUCUAGAUAGGCAAUAUUGUUGAUAAACAGAACAAGCAAAAUAGGUCCUAUCAGGUACUGAGCCUUCAGGCACUCCACAUUCUAUUGCUCUGUGAGAAUACAUCGUUGUAUCAAUUCUUACAAGCUGACGAUGAUGAUUACAAAGCCUAUGAAUUUAAAAUUUUUACAAGAAUUUAUACAACUUAAAGCCUCCACAAAUCUCAAUUGAUUAUUGUAAGUACAAUUUUAUUAUUGUUAUACAUUUAUACAUAUUCCUUAGAUAUUCUCAAAAAUAUCCAUUCUAGUUAUAAUCGCUUGUAUUAUAUUAUAAAAUUUCUCAAUGAAUAAGAAUUUGAAUUGUUAAAAAAUCAAAAGACUAACCUCAGCAACACACUUAAUUUUAAUCUUAUUUUAUUAUACCGAUUUUAUUUUUGUUAAUAGAGCAAACGUAUUAACAUUUCCUAUUUAACUAAUAUGUCUUUUUCAAUCCUCAAUAAAUAAUUAGUUUAUGUUGGUCUCCGUUUUGAUAGUAACAUGCACAUUUAACUUGAAACCCGACCUUAGUAUACAAUUGCCAAUAACAAAUAAAAAAGAUUUUUCUCUCAGUCAAUAAUUUAUUCAACCAGUAUAGCGACAGCUUUCGAAUAAAUACACUACAAAUAAAAGUGUAGAUUCAUAUUGCUAUUGAACCUAUGAAUUAGUAUCCAUCUCUAGUACACUUAAAAUCGAAUAUUUGUCUUAAUAUAGGUACCAAAAUGUUUAAAUAUGUUUUCCUGUACAACUAGAGCAUGUGAUAAAAUGGAUAGAUUUACAUAAUCUGCAUUCCUACAUUCACAUGUUUUUGUGAAAAACUAUAUGUAAUCUACAUACAUUUUAAAAUUUUGUUGUACUUACAACAAAGAGUUUGACCUUUCGAAUGCGGUGGAAAUUUUAGUUCUUUGAUAUUAUUUCCUUUACAUUCAUUGCCCUUCGAAACAUUCAAACUGGCCAUUCUUCUUUAUGAGCCAGUGGCAUUCCUCGCAAUUCUUUAGACAGGAUAGGAAAUUUAGUUAGUAUCUAAUUUAAUCUAAACGGAUGAUUUUGAUCAUAAAAACGAUGAAACCAAAAGAAACCAUUAAUUUCUCAUGGUACAAUGGUCUAGAGAACUGUAGACAUAGGAGGUCCACUCCUAGUAUAUUUUAAAUUUAUUUCCUUUUGUUUUGACUCUGGAUUUGUUGGAUCCACCAAUUUCAUUCAUAAUUACAGACAUUGUAUUUCUCAUUGUACAGUGGUAUCAGUGGUAAUAAUUCAUC
Diorhabda carinulata is the source of this 3329-nucleotide long non-coding RNA. RefSeq lists it as uncharacterized. The record is from RefSeq and is a predicted model, not a curated record. Lineage: Eukaryota; Metazoa; Arthropoda; Insecta; Coleoptera; Chrysomelidae. The transcript is spliced from 4 exons.